AUUUUUUAAAAUCUAAUUAAUUUAUAAUUAAAUAGUAAUUAUUAAAUAAAACAAAAAUAUUACAUUACACGAAUUCAAAAAAAUUCACAAGAUAAACAAGACUGUAGUAUGCAGGAAAUUUCCUUUUUUCCAAAAAGGUCCUAGUCUUCCAGAGACAGAACAGGCACGCAGACACACAGCGUGAGAGCGAGAGUUUUGAGAUAAAAGAAGAAGUUGGCGCGGCGACAGGAAUAUCUGGAAGCGAGCGACGCGCGAGCAGAGCACCGCCCCCCGGCCCGGCCGCGUUCCAUUCCGUUCCGUGGCGGCAUCCGCGCCACCGCGUGUGCUUUACAGGGGUAAUCCCCGCGGGUUACAGUUAUGCAGCGAACCACCGCCACCGCCACCGCCACGCCCGAGCGCGUCUCCGUUCGCCCUCGCUUUCUUCGUCCGCUCGCGCUCGACGCGACAUGCAUGCUGCAGCCUGCAGGCUGCAGUGCACCAACGCUGCGCGCACCGGGGGCCCUGCGCCGCUUUCUCCAACCGUCGCGUCAAUUGUUCGGUGCCACCGGCCAUCGCUGUCUCGAGGGGUUUCAGAUACGGUAAUGAUCACUCUGUCUUGAGCUGAUAUAAUAGUGGAUUAAUUAAUAAAUAAAGUAAUACAGUACCCCCUGAUGUUUUUCCCCUUCAUUUUUGGAACCAAAAAAAAUCCUGUUGCAGGAGGGGCCGAGGGGGAAAAGACGAGGGAUGUCGGAACGGGCAGGCACGGGCCGCAGGGAAUGGUACUACAUGAUACUAGCAUGGUAGGUACUGCAGGUUCAACGAGGGGCGGCAGAGACGUGGCCGGCUAAACAAAUUCGGAUUAAGGGCUGGGCACCCCAUCACCGCGAUGCCAGGGAGCAUGUGGGGAACGGACAAGCGGAGAGAAGCUGGGCAGAGGCAUCCAGUCCAGCCUGCGGAUCCAUCACCCGCCCGUCCGCUCAGUCCGCAAGCGGAAAGAUGCCGUCCGCCUCGCCCUCGCCGCUCAAGGAGCCCCCCGAGGAAUAGGAUUAGGCUAACCACCCGAGAGACAGCGGCUGUGCGCGCAUGAUUAUAGGGCCUCGUGAGAAAGCGGGCGCAUCGGUAUUAGCGUAAAGCGGCUGUGGACUACUAGGAUAGGCACCGCACCUCACCGGUCCCAAUCAUGCGUGCCUGUGGCUGGGUGUACGUGUACACUCGCCAUCUAUCUAUCCCAAACUUGGUGCUUUUGGUGUCUUGGUGCCUUUUUGUGAAGGAGGGACAUAGGAUGGAAACAGAGUUGUUUACUCAACGGCUUCUUCCACCAUGAAAGCUCCAAAAGCACAUACACAGUACGUACGCUACACGUUCAGCCAGCAAAGCCAAACGAGCGAGUCACGCGUACAUGCACGGAGCUGCGAGUUGACGCUGCGACAGUAGGAGUAGGAAUGUAGGAUGGUCACGCUCUCGCUCUCGCGCUCUAUCUUUAAAUAAAUAGGGCCCGCGGACGGGUGGCCUGCUCUGCCGCCCCGCGGGAGCCUCCCUCGUGGACCGCCGGUGCCAGGUGGGUGGAACGCACGCGCCAGCACAGCACCAACGCGGCCGCCUGAAUGAGAGCUGAGCGUUCGGCCCCCACGCCACGACGGAUCUCGUCUCGUCUCCGUCGGCAUCCCCCGUCUGAAGGCUGAUUACGCAACCGCAUCUGUCGUCUUCCACCCAGUCCUUGCCCCCCAGUUUGUUUUUGUCCCCCUCCCAUUCAUGCCUCUCACGGGUCACCGGGCUCAUGGGCGGACACGCCGCAUGCACGUACUACUCCUACACGGCUACACGCGUGCGUGCCCACGCCCCGGCCGGCCGGCCGGCCCACCCUAUAUGGGCGCACAGGUGCAUGCCGGCCCGCCCAAUCUGCAACAACGGCCACGCCCAACGUGCAACACAACGACGGCAAUCGGCAAACAAAAAUGCACGCAUGAACGAACCUGGCAUGGCACGGGGCCAGG
Molecule: long non-coding RNA, 1973 nt
Filed under: Sorghum bicolor (sorghum)
Lineage: Eukaryota; Viridiplantae; Streptophyta; Magnoliopsida; Poales; Poaceae
Description: long non-coding RNA (SBIC_LNC003898)
Source: RNAcentral